UACAUGCAAGUCGAACGAACUCUGGGUAUUGAUUGGGUGCUUGCAUCAUGAUUUACAUUUGAGUGAGUGGCGAACUGGUGAGUAACACGUGGGAAACCUGCCCAGAAGCGGGGGAUAACACCUGGAAACAGAUGCUAAUACCGCAUAACAACUUGGACCGCAUGGUCCGAGCUUGAAAGAUGGCUUCGGCUAUCACUUUUGGAUGGUCCCGCGGCGUAUUAGCUAGAUGGUGGGGUAACGGCUCACCAUGGCAAUGAUACGUAGCCGACCUGAGAGGGUAAUCGGCCACAUUGGGACUGAGACACGGCCCAAACUCCUACGGGAGGCAGCAGUAGGGAAUCUUCCACAAUGGACGAAAGUCUGAUGGAGCAACGCCGCGUGAGUGAAGAAGGGUUUCGGCUCGUAAAACUCUGUUGUUAAAGAAGAACAUAUCUGAGAGUAACUGUUCAGGUAUUGACGGUAUUUAACCAGAAAGCCACGGCUAACUACGUGCCAGCAGCCGCGGUAAUACGUAGGUGGCAAGCGUUGUCCGGAUUUAUUGGGCGUAAAGCGAGCGCAGGCGGUUUUUUAAGUCUGAUGUGAAAGCCUUCGGCUCAACCGAAGAAGUGCAUCGGAAACUGGGAAACUUGAGUGCAGAAGAGGACAGUGGAACUCCAUGUGUAGCGGUGAAAUGCGUAGAUAUAUGGAAGAACACCAGUGGCGAAGGCGGCUGUCUGGUCUGUAACUGACGCUGAGGCUCGAAAGUAUGGGUAGCAAACAGGAUUAGAUACCCUGGUAGUCCAUACCGUAAACGAUGAAUGCUAAGUGUUGGAGGGUUUCCGCCCUUCAGUGCUGCAGCUAACGCAUUAAGCAUUCCGCCUGGGGAGUACGGCCGCAAGGCUGAAACUCAAAGGAAUUGACGGGGGCCCGCACAAGCGGUGGAGCAUGUGGUUUAAUUCGAAGCUACGCGAAGAACCUUAC
RNAcentral lists this ribosomal RNA (960 nucleotides) under Lactiplantibacillus argentoratensis. Its description in RNAcentral is "bacterial SSU rRNA". It matches the Rfam family "Bacterial small subunit ribosomal RNA", at positions 52 to 974 of the family's 1533-position model. Lineage: Bacteria; Bacillati; Bacillota; Bacilli; Lactobacillales; Lactobacillaceae. The record is from RNAcentral.